AAAUUGAAGAGUUUGAUCAUGGCUCAGAUUGAACGCUGGCGGCAGGCCUAACACAUGCAAGUCGAACGGUAGCACAGAGAGCUUGCUCUCGGGUGACGAGUGGCGGACGGGUGAGUAAUGUCUGGGAAACUGCCUGAUGGAGGGGGAUAACUACUGGAAACGGUAGCUAAUACCGCAUAACGUCGCAAGACCAAAGAGGGGGACCUUCGGGCCUCUUGCCAUCAGAUGUGCCCAGAUGGGAUUAGCUAGUAGGUGGGGUAAYGGCUCACCUAGGCGACGAUCCCUAGCUGGUCUGAGAGGAUGACCAGCCACACUGGAACUGAGACACGGUCCAGACUCCUACGGGAGGCAGCAGUGGGGAAUAUUGCACAAUGGGCGCAAGCCUGAUGCAGCCAUGCCGCGUGUAUGAAGAAGGCCUUCGGGUUGUAAAGUACUUUCAGCGGGGAGGAAGGUGUUGUGGUUAAUAACCACAGCAAUUGACGUUACCCGCAGAAGAAGCACCGGCUAACUCCGUGCCAGCAGCCGCGGUAAUACGGAGGGUGCAAGCGUUAAUCGGAAUUACUGGGCGUAAAGCGCACGCAGGCGGUCUGUCAAGUCGGAUGUGAAAUCCCCGGGCUCAACCUGGGAACUGCAUUCGAAACUGGCAGGCUAGAGUCUUGUAGAGGGGGGUAGAAUUCCAGGUGUAGCGGUGAAAUGCGUAGAGAUCUGGAGGAAUACCGGUGGCGAAGGCGGCCCCCUGGACAAAGACUGACGCUCAGGUGCGAAAGCGUGGGGAGCAAACAGGAUUAGAUACCCUGGUAGUCCACGCCGUAAACGAUGUCGACUUGGAGGUUGUGCCCUUGAGGCGUGGCUUCCGGAGCUAACGCGUUAAGUCGACCGCCUGGGGAGUACGGCCGCAAGGUUAAAACUCAAAUGAAUUGACGGGGGCCCGCACAAGCGGUGGAGCAUGUGGUUUAAUUCGAUGCAACGCGAAGAACCUUACCUACUCUUGACAUCCAGAGAACUUWSCAGAGAUGSWUUGGUGCCUUCGGGAACUCUGAGACAGGUGCUGCAUGGCUGUCGUCAGCUCGUGUUGUGAAAUGUUGGUGCGUCGUAGUCCGGAUUGGAGUCUGCAACUCGACUCCAUGAAGUCGGAAUCGCUAGUAAUCGUAGAUCAGAAUGCUACGGUGAAUACGUUCCCGGGCCUUGUACACACCGCCCGUCACACCAUGGGAGUGGGUUGCAAAAGAAGUAGGUAGCUUAACCUUCGGGAGGGCGCUUACCACUUUGUGAUUCAUGACUGGGGUGAAGUCGUAACAAGGUAACCGUAGGGGAACCUGCGGUUGGAUCACCUCCUUA
This 1338-nucleotide ribosomal RNA is filed under the name Enterobacter kobei. RNAcentral describes it as "bacterial SSU rRNA". Lineage: Bacteria; Pseudomonadati; Pseudomonadota; Gammaproteobacteria; Enterobacterales; Enterobacteriaceae. The record is from RNAcentral.